UCCUACGGGAGGCAGCAGUGAGGAAUAUUGGUCAAUGGCCGGAAGGCUGAACCAGCCAAGCCGCGUGAAGGACGAAGGUGCCAAGCAUUGUAAACUUCUUUUGUCAAGGGACAAAAUCAGGCUCGAGAGCCUGACCGAGGGUACUUGAAGAAAAAGCAUCGGCUAACUCCGUGCCAGCAGCCGCGGUAAUACGGAGGAUGCGAGCGUUAUCCGGAUUUAUUGGGUUUAAAGGGUGCGCAGGCGGAAGCGGCAAGUCAGCGGUAAAAUUGCGGGGCUCAACCUCGCCGAGCCGUUGAAACUGCUCU
This 305-nucleotide ribosomal RNA is filed under the name uncultured bacterium. Its description in RNAcentral is "bacterial SSU rRNA". It matches the Rfam family "Bacterial small subunit ribosomal RNA", at positions 337 to 639 of the family's 1533-position model. The record is from RNAcentral.